This is a long non-coding RNA of Mesocricetus auratus (golden hamster), 1105 nucleotides long. RefSeq lists it as uncharacterized. The transcript is spliced from 2 exons. The record is from RefSeq and is a predicted model, not a curated record. NCBI's taxonomy places the organism in Eukaryota, Metazoa, Chordata, Mammalia, Rodentia, Cricetidae.
ACUAUCCCGGCUCAAAAUAAAAUUCGCAGUUUUCAAAGAAUAAGCGUAAUUGUUCCUCUUCCACAGAGAAAGGUUUUGGCAGGAGGAAGAGCACGGAGAGGAGGAUAAAAAGAUCUGACUGCGUCUGGCCGUGCCAGGCACUCGGCCUUCCCUGGGUGGAAACCUGGCUUCAGCUACUGCUGAGAAUGUAUAGGAACAUAACCGCCUGGAAAAGAUACUCAUUGUUCUAUCAUAACUCCGCAGAAGGCAAGCGCUACUAUGGAUCUACAUCCUCAGACCCUGGACCAGGAUGGGGUGAUGCCUGUGAAGGUCAGAGGACAAUUUCAGUGCUCCAUCCUCUCCUUCCGCCACUGUGGAUCCAGGGGGCAUUGGAUUCAAGUUUUUCAGGCUUGGCCGCAAGCACCUUUACAUGUUGAGCCACAUGGUAGGUCCCUGAACCAAAGCCUUGGGGACAGUGCUGCUUUCUAAUGCGGCUCACAAAGGAAUUGCAGUGCAGCUCACCGUCUCUGUGGGACUGCCUUUCUCACUGGAGAGAGGGCGCUGAGCAUGAGGUUCUCGGAGGGACCUCUUCUCCUCUAGGGCAUGGGUGAACUCAGUCAAAUCCAAUGGAGGCAAAGAUGAGUGAAUCGUGUAGCCUCUCAGAAGACUCGAGGAGAGCGGCCAAGGCCAGUAAAGCAAACCAAAUGACAAAACAAAACGAAGCCCCCACCGGCUUCCGCCUCCGCCAACAGUGCUCUGUGGAGACCCGCACUCGUGUCUGCUUCCUGGACCCUUGUACUUGCUCUGGCAAAUUGUGGGCACCAACCCUGGGUACCCUGGUGGGCGGGGCUUGAAGAGUCUAAAGGGAGAAGCCCCCAAAGACCACACCUCUCUCUGUCUCCAACCUUGAUGGCUUGACACUUCAAACCUCCUUGGAAAACUGUCUAGAUGAAGGAGUCUAUGGCUAAAUAACACUUGAAAAAAAAUGCCUUAGUAGGCUUGCCCGUAAUCCCCACACCCUGAUGAGUUCACAAGACUGCAACCUCCCUUUGUCCACCUAUAAGAUCAUUGUCCAUCUCUAAGUUUUAAAUUACCACUGAGAAGGAUAAAAUUAUGCUGGCCCAAA